CUGAGGUUUCCCCGGAGUCUUCCAGGUGAACAUUCCCAGCUCCUGGAAGGACUCUGAGGAAUUCCAAACCCUUCCCUUCUCCAGGUGAACAUUCCCAGCUCCUGGAAGGGCUCUGAGAAAUUCCGAACCCUUCCUUUCUCCAGGUGAACAUUCCCAGCUCCUGGAAGAACUCUGAGGAGUUCCUGACCCUUCUCUGCUCCAGGUGAACAUUCCCAGCUCCUGGAAGAACUCUGAGGAGUUCCUGACCCUUUUCUUCUCAUUCCCAGCUCCUGGAUGGGGCUCUAAGGGUCCUUCCCUUCUCCAGAUGAACAUUCCCAACUCCUGGAAGGGCUCUGAGGAAUUCCUGACCCUUCUCUGCUCCAGGUGAACAUUCCCAGCUCCUGGAAGGGCUCUGAGGAAUUCCUGACCCUUCCCUUCUCCAGAUGAACAUUCCCAGCUCCUGGAAGGGCUCUGAGGAAUUCCUGGACCCUUUUCUUCUCAUUCCCAGCUCCUGGAUGGGGCUCUAAGGGUCCUUCCCUUCUCCAGAUGAACAUUCCCAACUCCUGGAAGGGCUCUGAGGAGUUCCCAAACCCUUCCCUUUUCCAGUUGGGACAUUCCCAGCUCUUGGAUGGGGCUCUAAGGGUCCUUCCCUUCUCCAGGUGAACAUUCCCAACUCCUGGAAUCACUCCACAGAAUUCCUGACCCUUCCCUUCUCCAGGUGAACAUUCCCAACUCCUGGAAAGUCUCUGAGGAAUUCCUGACCCUUCUCUCCUCGGCCAUUCCGCCCAGGAAUCAGGGCUGCUUCAGAUUCAUGGCAGGGAAAACUGGGAGAGCAUUAAAAAA
This is a non-coding RNA of Cyanistes caeruleus (blue tit), 822 nucleotides long. The record is from RefSeq and is a predicted model, not a curated record. NCBI's taxonomy places the organism in Eukaryota, Metazoa, Chordata, Aves, Passeriformes, Paridae.